GCCGGAUGGGGUGGUGCCCACCUAUAGUCCCAGCUACUUGGGAGACUGAGACAGGAGGAUCACUUGAGUACAGGAGUUCUGGGCUGUAGUGUGCUAUGCCAAUGGGGCCACCAGGUUGCCUAAGGAUGGAUGAACCAGCCCAGGUCAGAAAUGGAGCAGGUGAAAACUCCUGUGCUGAUCAGUAGUGGGAUUGUGCCGGUUAAUAGCCACUGCACUCCAGCCUGUCUCUAAAAAAAAAAA
RNAcentral lists this signal recognition particle RNA (240 nucleotides) under Otolemur garnettii (small-eared galago). RNAcentral describes it as "Metazoan signal recognition particle RNA". It matches the Rfam family "Metazoan signal recognition particle RNA". Rfam says of the family: The signal recognition particle (SRP) is a universally conserved ribonucleoprotein. It is involved in the co-translational targeting of proteins to membranes. The record is from Rfam by way of RNAcentral. Lineage: Eukaryota; Metazoa; Chordata; Mammalia; Primates; Galagidae.